UUACUCCUCAGAGAAAGAUACACUCCAUAGGUACAAAUUGUUUAUGCAAUGUGCUCUGAAAUGUGGUGAAAGGUAUGUAGUACACUUUAAUAAGGAGGACCCCGACAAAAGAUUGAUGUGUUUUCUCGAUUCACAUAGUGCCGAUGAUCUCACCAAUGAUCGUUCUCACUUCCAUUCCCUGUCAACAUUACUAUUGUAAGAGACAAUCAUGAAACAAAUCCACAUUCUUUUGUGAUCAAGGAACCAUGGGACUCUGAUGCGGAAUUGUUUCGGUUGUUCAAACUUUGGAGCAAGAAUUAUGGUAAAGUAUACUUAUACUCUUAGAAAUGAGUAUUGGGUCUAACUCAUCCUUACAAAACCAGCUUGUAAAGUGAGGAUUGCCUCUAGUAUAUAAACACUUAGUCAAACUAUCUCUCAAUCGAUGUGAGACUCUUAACAUAUACUACUAUAAUCAACAACCUGGCUUGUCGUCCGAUGAAACUACAACGAAUAAUCCUGGCAAUGAAUAUUUUCCUGACCAUCCGCUUUCAGAAUCAACAUUUUCCAGAGACGAUGAUCAAACAAAUCCAAUUUCUUUCAAGAUGAUGGAGGCGUCCAAUGUGGUGUUAAACUUCUUUGAAGUUUUCGAACAUUGGAACCUGGAAUAUCACAAAACAUACUCCUCAAAUCAAUGUAAACUUGAUACUUCUUCUAUUUGUUCAAACUUUGGCACAAAGAAUAUCUCAAGGCAUGCUCCUUGGAGGAAGAUUCAGGGUUUUCAUAGUAGAGCUCAUAAACGAGACUUCACUUAUGGUAUUUGGGCAGUUAAUACGAUAUCACGUCUCAGAAAUGACGA
Long non-coding RNA from Trifolium pratense (red clover), 835 nucleotides. RefSeq lists it as uncharacterized. Lineage: Eukaryota; Viridiplantae; Streptophyta; Magnoliopsida; Fabales; Fabaceae. The transcript has 3 exons. The record is from RefSeq and is a predicted model, not a curated record.